UAGAAAACGUCAGGUAGUCUACAAAAUCAUAAAUUUUCUUCAGGCCAUCAGACAGCUGAGCUUGCAAGGCACCAAGUGAAAUACAAAAUGUGAGAAGCUCCUCCAAGGAGGAAGGGACGCGUGACUCUUUCACCUUCAGCAGAGCUGGGGAGGAAGAGUUAGCCACCAUGAAAUCAGGUUUAACAAAUACUUAUGUCUCUGACUUUGGAUGGUUCGACUUACGAUUUUUCGACUUCACGACGGUGUGAAGGUGAGACAGGCUGGGACCUGGGACCUGGGAUCCUUGGCUGCAGUGCUUGCAACACUGGACAAACGUCUCCUCCAGCAACAGAAUAUAAAGAAACUAUAAAGGACUAAAAAUAACUGCAUGCAUAGGCAGCUGGGGCAAAUUAUAAGUAACAAGAUAGAAAAAGACCAAAAACCCAGCAGCCGCUUCUGAGGUGCCGGGAGCAAAAGCAAGGUGCACACUGCGCAUGCUCCCUGCGCACGGCACUAAGGGGCUGGGCCGACCGCCUUAGCCGCCCCUCCAGCCUGGACCCGCCCACACCCUCACGCCAUUUAAGGGACCAGCUCACCGCCUCUUAGGGAGCGAGCAAAGAAACCUGUUACUUGUUUUCGCUCAGUCGUCCUGCAGCACCAGUGCCAAUAAAGCCUUGCCUGAA
Balaenoptera ricei (Rice's whale) is the source of this 662-nucleotide long non-coding RNA. RefSeq lists it as uncharacterized. The record is from RefSeq and is a predicted model, not a curated record. Lineage: Eukaryota; Metazoa; Chordata; Mammalia; Artiodactyla; Balaenopteridae. The transcript is spliced from 2 exons.